GAUGAAGAACGUAGCGAAAUGCGAUAAGUAGUGUGAAUUGCAGAAUUCAGUAAAUCAUCGAAUCUUUGAACGCACAUUGCGCCUCCUGGUAUUCCGGGAGGCAUGCCUGUUCGAGCGUCAUUAAAAUCACUCAAGCUUAGGUUUACCUAUUGCUUGGUCUUGGAGAUGGAAGCCAAUUCAUUGGAAUCCUCUUCGAAAUCCAAUGGCGAAGACCCUUGCUCUCCCAAGUGUAGUAAUAACUUAUGUCACUGAAGGAAGCGAGAAAUCUUCCGCCGUAACCCCCAUAUUUUCUAUGAUUGACCUCGGAUCAGGUAGGGAUACCCGCUGAACUUAAGCAUAUCAAUAAGCGGAGGA
This 354-nucleotide unclassified non-coding RNA is filed under the name soil metagenome. Its description in RNAcentral is "partial contains 5.8S ribosomal RNA, internal transcribed spacer 2, and large subunit ribosomal RNA". The stretch from base 1 to 120 matches the Rfam family "5.8S ribosomal RNA", at positions 35 to 154 of the family's 154-position model. The record is from RNAcentral.